This 433-nucleotide ribosomal RNA is filed under the name uncultured bacterium. RNAcentral's name for it is "partial 16S ribosomal RNA". It matches the Rfam family "Bacterial small subunit ribosomal RNA", at positions 29 to 507 of the family's 1533-position model. The record is from RNAcentral.
AGCGAACGCUGGCGGCAGGCCUAACACAUGCAAGUCGAACGAACUCUUCGGUUUUAUUGGCGGACGGGUGCGUAACCCGUGGGAACCUGCCUUUAGGUUCGGAAUAACUCCCCGAAACUUGUGCUAAUACCGCAUUUUCUCUUCUGUCGAAAGAUUUAUCGCCUUUUGAGGGGCCCGCGUCUGAUUAGCUUGUUGGUUAGGUAAAUGCCUACCAAGGCGACGAUAAGUAGCUGGUCUGAGAGGAUGAUCAGCCACAAUGGGACUGAGACACGGCCCAAACGACUACGGGAGGGAGGAGAGGGGAAUAGUGCGAAAUGGGCGAAAGGCUGAAGAAGCAAUGACGGGUGAAUGAUGAAGGUAUGAGGAAAGAAAAAUUCUUUAACAGGGGAAGAGAAUGACGGUAACGGGAGAAGAAGCCACGGCUAACUACGUG